GUUCUUACCAAAAUAGAAAUAGUACUUGUAUUUAGAGUCUCAUCAUUCAGAAGUUGGUCUGGAACUUACACAAAGAAAUUGGAUUUAAAGCCUGAGGAGACGUGAAGCAUCUGACAUUUUCACCUGAGUGUUUUUCACACAUGAAAGGGGCACCUUGCAAGGACUGAGGAGCACUCCACGUGCAUGGGCAGCAGGGACAAUAUGGGACAACUGUCACACAUGGAAGGAGAGAGGAAUGCAGUUACAGGAGCAAAUGGAACAGUCACAAAGGCAUAAGUGGAGAGUCAGCGAUGCCAGUUAACAUUGUAAAAAGCAAAGCCUGCAUUUAUUUACUCUGUGUGCUGUGUGGAAACCCACCGCUGCCAGCUUCAGCCACAGAACGUUCUAUAAGAAGCAGUUGUGGUUUCCAGAUGCGGGUGAGUGGAUAGUGUUUUCCAAGGGUGCUUUGGGGAGCAACUGGGGCAUCUGAGUACAUUUCGCAUCUUGGCACAGUGAGCCUGUUAUGAAUUCUCUGUGCCUGGCUGUCUGUCUCCUACCCCAGUGAUUACCUUCUCCUUUUGGAAGACAAAAACAACUGCAGACACACGUGUGCAAUCAAAGAGCUGGUUCCAAUGGUCUCAGCAGUCCCUAAGGUCUUCCACUGGGUAGAUUCCUGCAGAAAGAGGCUGGAAGGGCGACCUAGAGGAUCUGACUAACCUCUGAUUUAAGCCAAAACUCAGCUCUUUUUUAUUUAUCAACUGGAGUCUGGGCUUUCAUAGGGCCACUUAUUUUUUCUUAAGUGGAGUGAAGAUUGUCAGCAGGAAGUAAAGAAUACUUAUUUCGUGUAUAUUUCAAGCCAACGUGUAAUUUCCACGUUGUAUUUAGAAGGACAUUGCUUACCCUACACUUUGUUAUACACGAAGCUGUUGGUGCAUGCUUCUUGUCUAACCUUUAGGAAAUAGCUGUCCUAUGGCAUUUUGCAUAGGAAAGGAUUAUUUGACCUCGAUGGCUGAAAAAUAGUUUUCAUGGCGUUGGGGGCGAUGCAUAGCAGCUGAGGUACUUUAAUUCGCUGGGUGGUUAACACGUGGGAUGAACACUACAAGGAAUGUGAACUGAGACUGCAAUCAGAGAUGUCCAUGUAUUCUGCUAUCUGUCGGACAGAUGUCAUCCACAGCAGCUCCCAUCCGGGGUUUUCUGGGUGUCUGGGGAGUUGAAAGUACAGAGUUAUUUAACAAUACCUGCUACCGAAAAUGUAUAAUGAUUAUUGACUCUUGUCCAGUUGAAUAAAAAUAUCGACCUAACUAAAGCAUUACGUAUUUCUGGUAUCAACAAAUGCAUGACCCGCAAUCUUCAUGGUGGUUAGAUGCAGCUCAAGAUGUGGAGAAAUACUUCGCUGAGGCCUGAAAGGCUCAAGAAUAAGAAAGGGUGUUUGGAGUUUCAGAUGACACCUGACAGCCCUAGCAGCAGAAGGCCACAUGCAGAGAUGUCCAGAGACAACUCCUUUCUAAGGCAGUUCAGUUUUCUUCUUUCUUUACCAUGGUUAAUAAAUAUGACAUUCUGAGUAACAUUGUUCUAAUUUUUAAAUGAAAAAGUGUUUAUGAUGUUAACAAUUACGGGACCCUUUUAAUUAUAAUAUCAAAUUGAGUUGGAAAGUUAUGUAAGAGGAAACUAUAAGUCAGUAGGUGUUCCAAAGCUCUUGUUCCUGGCAUGAAUACUGCAAUAUAAUUAUAAUAGAAAAGCUCUCAGUAGAUUGUGAAUGUGCCUUGAGUAUUUUAUAACGAGAACACAGUUGUUAAUUUAAUAAAUUGGAUAGCAAACAA
This is a non-coding RNA of Microcebus murinus (gray mouse lemur), 1799 nucleotides long. The record is from RefSeq and is a predicted model, not a curated record. Lineage: Eukaryota; Metazoa; Chordata; Mammalia; Primates; Cheirogaleidae.